This 253-nucleotide ribosomal RNA is filed under the name uncultured bacterium. Its description in RNAcentral is "partial 16S ribosomal RNA". It matches the Rfam family "Bacterial small subunit ribosomal RNA", at positions 524 to 776 of the family's 1533-position model. The record is from RNAcentral.
GACAGAGGUGCCAAGCGUUAGGCGGAAUCACUGGGCUUAAAGCGUGUGUAGGCGGAUCGUUAAGUGCCUUGUGAAAUCCCACGGCUUAACCGUGGAACUGCUCGGCAUACUGGCGGUCUUGAGCCAGCUAGGGGCUACCGGAACAACUGGUGGAGCGGUGAAAUGCGUAGAUAUCAUUUGGAACGCCAAUGGUGAAAACAGGUAGCUGGGGCUGUGCUGACGCUGAGACACGAAAGCCAGGGGAGCGAACGGG